This 253-nucleotide ribosomal RNA is filed under the name uncultured bacterium. Its description in RNAcentral is "partial 16S ribosomal RNA". It matches the Rfam family "Bacterial small subunit ribosomal RNA", at positions 524 to 776 of the family's 1533-position model. The record is from RNAcentral.
UACGUAGGGUGCGAGCGUUAAUCGGAAUUACUGGGCGUAAAGCGUGCGCAGGCGGUUAGUUAAGUUGGAUGUGAAAUCCCCGGGCUCAACCUGGGAACUGCAUUUGUGACUGUAUAGCUAGAGUACGGUAGAGGGGGAUGGAAUUCCGCGUGUAGCAGUGAAAUGCGUAGAUAUGCGGAGGAACACCGAUGGCGAAGGCAAUCCCCUGGACCUGUACUGACGCUCAUGCACGAAAGCGUGGGGAGCAAACAGG